CCUACGGGAUGCAGCAGUGGGGAAUAUUGCGCAAUGGGCGAAAGCCUGACGCAGCGACGCCGCGUGAGGGAUGAAGGUCUUCGGAUCGUAAACCUCUGUCAGCAGGGAAGAACGGUCACUGUGCUAAUCAGCAGUGAAUUGACGGUACCUGCAAAGGAAGCACCGGCUAACUCCGUGCCAGCAGCCGCGGUAAUACGGAGGGUGCGAGCGUUAGUCGGAAUUACUGUGCGUAAAGCGCUCGAUGGCGGUAUGUCAAGUCAAGGGUGAAAUCCCCGCGCUCAACGUGGGAACGGCCUUUGAAACGGGCAAACUGGACUGUGUGAGAGGAUGGUGGAAUUCCAGGUGUAGGAGUAAAAUCCGUAGAUAUCUGGAGGAACAUCAGUGGCGAAGGCGACUAUCUGGCACAUAACUGACGCUGAGGAGCGAAAGCGUGGGUAGCAAACAGGAUUAGAUACCCCAGUAGUC
RNAcentral lists this ribosomal RNA (465 nucleotides) under uncultured bacterium. Its description in RNAcentral is "partial 16S ribosomal RNA". It matches the Rfam family "Bacterial small subunit ribosomal RNA", at positions 338 to 795 of the family's 1533-position model. The record is from RNAcentral.